AGGCAAUCCCUAAAUUAAUAAAACUGUAAAUUUUACCAAAUUUAGAUCAUAUAAUAUUGCU
Molecule: transfer RNA, 61 nt
Filed under: Trichuris trichiura (human whipworm)
Lineage: Eukaryota; Metazoa; Nematoda; Enoplea; Trichinellida; Trichuridae
Also listed under: 1 other name
Description: tRNA-Tyr
Source: RNAcentral